Unclassified non-coding RNA from Cricetulus griseus (Chinese hamster), 321 nucleotides. Its record names the gene 7SK. It matches the Rfam family "7SK RNA". Rfam says of the family: 7SK was discovered as an abundant small nuclear RNA in the mid-70s but a possible function has only recently been suggested. The record is from Ensembl. NCBI's taxonomy places the organism in Eukaryota, Metazoa, Chordata, Mammalia, Rodentia, Cricetidae.
GGAUGUGUAGGUGAUAUACCUUCAACACCUGCCACCCUUCUGAUCAUUAAAGUUGAUUCUGUCUGACCUGUCUUCUUAGGUUGUGUUCCCUUUCUCCCACACUACUCCUUUCAUUCUCUCUUGAAGAUCCACACUGGGUCAAAGAGGAAGAUCUUCUCUGAAUAAAGGAGGACAGGUCUCCAGUCAAAAAUACAUGAGCAGGUAUGCUUCUCUGCUAGAAUCUGAAAACAAGCCACCAAGGUCUAUUUCUAUUUUGAAACUUGUUCCUACACUACAUUCUAGGCUGCCCUAUGGUUCAAUAAGUUUUAGUAUAACCUGGAG